This 88-nucleotide transfer RNA is filed under the name Betaproteobacteria bacterium. RNAcentral describes it as "tRNA-Ser". It matches the Rfam family "tRNA". From Rfam's summary of the family: Transfer RNA (tRNA) molecules are approximately 80 nucleotides in length. Their secondary structure includes four short double-helical elements and three loops (D, anti-codon, and T loops). Lineage: Bacteria; Pseudomonadati; Pseudomonadota; Betaproteobacteria. The record is from RNAcentral.
GGAGAGGUGGCAGAGUGGUCGAAUGCACCGGACUCGAAAUCCGGCAUACGGAAACGUAUCGUGGGUUCGAAUCCCACCCUCUCCGCCA